AUGACAUCGCCGAGCCUAACGGCGUGCCGGCAUGCUGCAGCUCGUCCGGGUGCGGGCAGGGUCACCGGCUGCGGCGGCGUCAGGGCGACACCGCUCCGAUCAAGACCACGAAAUACUUUUGCUCCGAGUGUCCAGUCGUCGUGGUCGCCGUCGAGAGCGAUCACCAGUUGCGCUCUGAAGCCCCCGCCUUCGUACGGCGGCAAGGCGGCGAAGGAGAAGAAGGUCAACCCCAGGGACCUCUUCACCUUCUCCUACAGGUUCAACACCGACAUCCCCAUGGGUGAAACUCCCGGGGCAUCCAUCGACGAGUACCUCAUGAACAGGCCGAGGAUCGUCGGGGCCGUGUUCCCCGACAAGCGGAAGCGAACCAAACUCAACGACGAGGAGUGGAGCGUGCAGCUGGUGCCGAUCCAGUUCCUGUUCCUGUCGGCGUGCCCGGUGAUCGCCGUCCGCUUCGUGAGCAGGUCCGGCGGGGAGGGGUACCCGCCCCACGUCCCCGUGCACGCCACCAGCCUCCUCCUCAUGGAAGUGACGGACUACAAGCUGAAGGGGCUGCAGAGGGACGCGAUGCCGUCGCACCUGGCGCUGACGGUGCGGGGCUCGCUGUACCCGCAGCCGGAGGGGCGGCGGAGCCUGAGGGGCCACGUGGAGAUGAGCGUGGGGUUCAACCUGCCGCCGGUGCUGGCGCUGGUGCCGGAGCCCAUCAUCCGGGGCGUCGGCGACACCGUGCUCCGGCAGCUGGCGGAGCAGAUGAAGCACGACUUCGACACCGGCCUCGCCGCCGACUUCAAGAAGUACCGCACCGAGAAGCUCACCGAGGGGAGGACCCGCAAACACUGA
RNAcentral lists this ribosomal RNA (840 nucleotides) under Triticum aestivum (bread wheat). Its description in RNAcentral is "partial small subunit ribosomal RNA". Lineage: Eukaryota; Viridiplantae; Streptophyta; Magnoliopsida; Poales; Poaceae. The record is from RNAcentral.